Molecule: long non-coding RNA, 9285 nt
Filed under: Pan troglodytes (chimpanzee)
Lineage: Eukaryota; Metazoa; Chordata; Mammalia; Primates; Hominidae
Description: long non-coding RNA NONPTRT006046
Source: RNAcentral
CCACAUUCUGGAUUUGUCUGGCCAUUUUCUGCCAGUUAGAUUCAGGUUAAACAUUUCUUUUGCAAGAACACAGUUCCCUCCCACAGCAUCACACCAGGAAUGUUAUUGGUUUCCUUUUUUUAAGAACCUCUUAAUGCCUGCUCUUCCCUGUCCCACCAGCACAACAGCAGCAAUGACCACGAAACCCACAACACAGCACCCAUUUAGAAGAUGAGAGAAGAUGGUUCUUCGUGGGCAAUCCCAAUAGAAUUGAGAAGAUUUUGAAAAGGCUGAGUCAGCCCAACCACCACUGAAGCCAGUUACCAGCCUGUGUGAUCACGUGAUGUGUGACUACAUCUUGGCCUGUGAUAAACGAUCGUGUCUCUUGACCCACAGGAGUUUGUAACAUUCUUUUAGUGUAUACUGAGUCAUUACUAUUGCACUGAACCAAAGUAAAUGAAUGUCUACUGCCAUUGUCAUAGAAAAAGAGGAAAGAAGGAAGGAAGGAAGGAAGGUAGGAUCCUCUGCUCUAUGUAAACUCCCCUGAUCCUCCCAGGCGCAACUGAAGGAUUUGUGCUUUCACAAAGCUUUGCGUAGACCUGCGCCUGGUUGUGCAUUCUUUUCAGUCAGUCACUGUGGUAAGGUAGUAAUUGCAUGCCUGGGUUUAAAUAAUGAUUCAACCCUUAUCAAUUGGCCAUGUGAAUCCAGGCAAACUAUUUAAACUUUGUAAACUUCUCUUGCUAAGCCCUUAACUUUGUACUGGCCUAGCCCUAACUACUCUACACAUAUUAACUCAUUGUAUCCUUUUGACAAUGUUAUAGGAUGGUACUUCAUUAACCCCAAUUUACAACCAAGGCCAAGUAACGUCUCCAGGGUUGAUGGGUGCAUUUCCUUGUGAGGGUGAAAUGAGAUAGAUAAUCAGUGUAAAACCCUUCUUAGCACAGUGCUUGGUCCAUAGUUAGCACACCAAAUUAUAAUUUUCAUUCAUUAGUUUUUAAGAUAAAGUUUACAUAAUAUUAUAAUGUGUUAGGCGUUAUUCUAAAUGUUUUAGACAUAUCAUCUCAUUCAACUCUAUGAAGUAGGUAUAGUUUUCAUGUCCAUUUCAUAGAUGAGGAAAGUGAGGCACAGACAGGUAAGAGAUCUGCCCAAGGUCACACAGCUGUUUAGUGGUGGAGACUAAAUUGCAUCUCAGAAAGCCUGGCUCAGAGAUCGCACUCUUAGUCUUUAUAAUAAACGAUCACUAAUAUUGUUGUUUGUUUAAGUGUCUGUAGGCACCCAUUUGCCCAUGACUUUGGACAGGGACUGUUUCACAGUUUGUAAUUUCUGCAAGCCUAUAGCCCCACCCAAUCCCUGCCACCUCCCACUACCUCCACACACAGAACUGGGAGGUUCUGGGUGAAUUUGUUGUCGAAUACAUACACAUGCUAAUAGUAACAUAUGAUUUGAUGAAGAAAUUAUUAGAAAACUCGUAGAGGUGGUAAAUGUGAAAUUUGUGCUUGAAAUGAGAAAGCAAGUUAAGGAGGUACUGCUAAGCACAAUUUCAGUGAAAUGCAUGCAGGAAUUCCUGGGCAAGAAAGUCACCGACUCCUGCUGAAUCUUGGAUAGAAUGUUUUCUCCAGUGUAUAGGAGAAACUGAGUAAGUUUAGCUCCUUUAUUACAUGACCUGCUCAUGUGUAUCUACACUGACAACAAACACUUGAGCUCUUACCAUUAGCCAGAUACUAAGUUAAACCCCUUACUUGCUUUCAUAGAUACUAUAAGUAUCUAAUUUAAUCCUUUUGACAGUCAGAGGAAGGAGGUCCUAACAGUAUCCCUAUUUUACAGAUAAGUAAACUGAGUCAUGGGGCCAAUAGACUGAAGGUCACUUACUAGUUAGGUUUUUUUUUUUUUUUUUUUUGAGACAGAGUUUUGCUCUGUCACCCAGGCUGGAGUGCAGUGGCAUGAUCUCAGCUCACUGUAACCUCUUUCUCCCAGGUUCAAGUGAUUCUCCUGCCUCAGCCUCCUGAGUAGCUGGGACUGCAGGUGCACGCCACCACACCCGGCUAAUUUUUUACAUUUUUAGUAGAGAUGGGGUUUCGCCAUGUUGGCCAGGCUGGUCUUGUCUCGAAACUCCUGACGUCAAGUGAUCCGCCUGCCUCAGCCUCCCAAAGUGCUGGGGUGACAGGCGUUGAGCCACGGUGCCCGGCCAAUUAGGAUUUGAAUCUACAUCUUCAGUAGUAGAGCUCCUCUUACUGUUAAAAUGGGAGCAAUUCCAGGGGUCAGUGAAGUGAGGGACAAAUUUCUGAUAGUUUUGGUGAGUCCUAGAGUCUUGCUGGGUGCGCAUCUCUUCUUGACAAUGUUUCUCAGUUGUUGACGUCCAGCCCUCUGGUCUAUGGAGUGCAGCCAAGAAAAGGAACUCAGGGUAGAGAGAGAGCCCUAAUGGCAAGGUACUGUUUGCUUCUGAAAGCUGUUACUAAAUACAAUAGCUAUUGAAUGCACAGAACAUCUUUGGUGUAAAUACUGACUGAGACUGAGAAAGAUGUCUAAAUUUACAGUACCCAAAUCAGUUGUAUGGCUUUACUCUAAAAUCCUCCAUAUUAUAAUUUUUCUUAGUUUCUCCUUGGAUUUUAACGCUCAGAAAUCUACCAUCAUGUUGAGAUAGUGGUACAGACCAUGCCAUAAAAAUUGUCUUUGAUGCCAACGGCAGACAAAUAUGACUGUUUUUAUUGGAGGGGGAGGGAAAAUUGGCAUCAGUUAGGAAGUCACUGUGUGUUCACUAUCAAUGACUUCAGUUCCCUCUGGUUGGCUGCUUCACAAAUCCCCAAGCUCCAUGAAACAACAUAAAAAACAAUAAAAGGAAAAAAAAAGCAAGCACAGGGUGAUAAAAAGGCAUCCAGAAAGAUUUUCAUAAAUGCAACAGUACUUUAACAAAAAAAGCAAUUUCAUGUCUACUCCAGGUAGACACAUAAAAUCUUAUGAACAAGUACAAAGUCUCAUUCAUGCGGCUUUCUUGAAGAUUCUUUUAAAAAUUUUAAAGGAAAGGAGUUGGAUUGGAGGAAAGGGGGAGAAAAUGACUUUUGGGGCCAUAUGAGUUUGGAAAUCAGGGAAAAGAUUCUUUACAUCUUCCCUCUUUAAAGUGUUGUGAGUCUUGAAGCUCCCAACAUUAGUGGUGUCUAGACGGAGGUUGCCUUGUCACGGGGCUCAUUAGUAUUCAUCAUUAAUUCAUAUUUUCAAAGCAACAAAGGAGAAAACAGUAGUAGGAAGAAUAAGAAAAUGUCAAAUCCUGGGAGUAACAUUUCAGUGCAGUGUUGCAACUAAGGUUAGCGGAGGUUGUGCUGUUUAAAAAGUCAAUCCAAACACAGGGAACAGAAGCAAGCACACUCUCUCUUUCCCACUUAAUGCCAAAUGCAUUCUCCUAGGUCCCAGCCUGUCUCUUCCUAUCUGGAAGCUUCCUUGCAUCCCAGCCUCACCAACCAAGUCUCUGAGUCCCCGUUGAGAAGCCUCAUUUGGUAGUCAUGACUGCAUACAUUUAUGAAGUGUACGUUUGUGCCAGGUGCAGUGCUUAGGGAUUUACGAGGAUUAUCUCAUUUCACUUCACAACAACCCUAUGAGGUCAUGGCCACAUUAUCCCUUAUUUUACAGGCAAGGUAACUGAAGACAAAAAGGGGACGUGCCUGGCCUGGGGUCACCCAGCUGGUAAAUGUCAUGGCUGAGACUCAAACCCAGGUAAUCUGGCUCUAGAGGCUGUGUGCAUUAGUUGGGGACAUCUACCCUAAAGAGGACAUUGCUCCUCCGGCCCCAGAGACUUCCCUUCUGAAGGCUCAUUCACACCCACCCUCUUCUCCUGCUUGACAUGAGCUGGUUUGGAUUUUUGGUUAUCAGAGUAUAGAUUGAAAAAAUACCAUAUAUUUAGCAUCAUGUUUCAUGGAGCCUCCUAUCCUCACCAUGGAGGUGGAAAAUAACUUAGCCCAGUGAGGUUUUUCCUCCUACAAAUAUGAUAAUUCUCUACUUUCCUUGAUGAGUGGCUAUAUGUAAGCUUAAUAUUAAUAUAUAAGAAGCUGUAUUUUCAACUACCUUUUUAUAAAGUAUACAUAGUAGUAGGAUAUAUGUGUUCUCUAUUUUUUUUGUCGAUUCUUAUACUAGUAUAUAUUUCCACUACUCCUAACACCAUUACUCGUAACAGUUUUUCUUUACUUUUCCCAUUCUCUUAUUCUUCAUUUUAGCAAGUGCCAGCAAACUUUCCUUGGGUGCUUAUAACAUGUUAGGCUCCAGGCUAAGAACUGAGAGUACAAGGAUAAAAAGGGUAAGAUCCGUGUAUUCAGUGGGGGUUUCCCAGACAUGGGAAUUGAAAGUUAUCACAGAAAAUAAUAGCUAACAUGUAUUGACACUAUUUGCCAUUCUGACACAUACUGCAUAUGUGUCUGUUCUUAAUCUUUGGUUAGUUACUACUAUGUCCAUUUUACAGAUGAAAAAACCAAGGAAUAGAGAGGCUAAAUCACUUGCCUGCAGACUCGUAGCUAGCAAGAAGGCAGCUAGUAUUGUAGACUGAGGAAUCUUGCUACAGGGUCUGGGCUCCUAACCAGUCUGCUUCAAAAGUAAAUUACACAGACUGGGUAUGGUGGCUUACAUCUGUAAUCCCAGCACUUUUGGAGGCCAAGGUGGGAAGAUCACUUGAGGUCAGGAAUUCAAGACCAGCCUGGCCAACAUGGUGAAACCCCAUUUCUACUAAAAAUACAGAAAUUAGCUGGGUGUGGUGGUGCACACCUGUAACCCCAGCUACUCAGGAGGCUGAGGCAUGAGAGUCGCUUGAACCCAGGAGACAGAAGUGGGAGCGAGCUGAGAUCUCACCACUGCACUUCAGCCUGGGGGACAGAGUGAUUGCCUGUAUCCAAAAAAAAAAAAAAAAAAAAAAAAAAAGUAAACUACACAAUUAUAUUUAGCGAAGAGAUCACUGGACUCUGCCUGCAUGGCCCAGACACAGAUGGAGGUUGAUAUGUGAACUGGGGCUUGAGGCAUAAAGGAUAAGUAGAAGUUAACCAGGCAGGCUGGAUGCGGUGGCUCAUGCCUGUAAUUCCAGCACUUUGGGAGGCCAAGGCAGGCAGAUCACCUAAGGUCAGGAGUUUGAGACCAGCCUGGCCAACCAACGUGGUGAAACCUCAUCUCUACUAAAAAUACAAAAUUAGCCCGGUGUGGUGGUGUCACCUGUAGUCCGUGCUACUCGGGAGGCUGAGGGGGAAGAAUUGCUUGAAUCCAGGAGACAGAGGUUGCAGUAAGCCAAGAUUGUGCCACUGUACUCCAGCCUGGGUGGCAGAGCGAGACUCCUUCAAAAAAAAAAAAAAAAAAAAAAAAAAAAAGAGUUAACCAGGCAGAGAAAAUAGCAUAUUGCCUGGCAGGGAAUACAGUCCCUGUAAGGGCACAGGGGUCUGAGAAAACAAUGUAGGUAAAUAAUUUACAGAGGUUGAAUAUAGAAUGAGGAGAGUGUGGCGGCGUAAGACUGCAUGAGGUAAGGAUAGACAAAGCAUGUUGUCAUUUACAUAGAAAAGUGACUGGACUAUUUUGUGGGUAAAGGGAGUUAUAGAAGGCCCUAUGCAGGAAUGUGCACUCACUCAAUUCUGAUUAGAACAUAAUCUCCAUGGUUCAAAAUGCAAAUGAAAUCAGGGAUGUCAAUCCUUUCAGGAAAUCUUUUCUGGUAUUAGUUUUUAUUCUUUGAGUAUAUUUUUUCUUUACUUAUUUUGGGAAAUGUCUGAGUCUAUAAGAAGUAGAGUAUAGUUGAGAAAUACAAAUCUGCUUUAGGUUGUCAGUCUAAACAACAUUUUGUACUGUCUAAGCCUGUAGGAAUUAGUGCAGAUGGAAUAAGAGAUGAGGUUAGUUGUGACCUGAGUACAGAAAACAGCCUGGAAGGUUAUAGGUCCCAAUAAUCCCUUGAAAUGUGCUUUUAAAGAAAAUAAUGUGUAUCUCUUUCUCUUACAGAUAAAGUGUAGCCAAAAGACAAACAAACCUGCUUAACUGAAGAUGAUCAGUUAGGAUACAGGGAGGUGUUUUAAACAAAUGGCAGACAAAUUGAGAAAUCUGUACUUCAAGUCCAACUCAUCCUGAGAAAUGCCAGAAUUUUAGCAACAAAACAAACCCGCAAGUCUUCUUCGUUCUUGAGAGUCAUGCCGUUUUCCUCCAAACAAGGACGAAAGGCUCUUUGCUUGUGGAGUGUCUCAGUCUAGCAGUAGAUUGGAAAAAUGUCCAAGCAGGGGACUCGAGUUCUCUCCCGGAUGAGUUCAUUUCAAUAGUCACUGUGUUUCAUCGGAUGCAGCUGGUUACAUUUUUAAUAGGCAGAUGGCUAAUUUUACAGUUCCAAGCCAAUCUCUCAUUGGACAACAUCCAGAAAGCCCGUGGUAGGGUGAUGCCCAGCAGAAAGUUCAACAGGACACUUGGGGGGAACAUAUGCUAAUGUCAGCCCUUUUACUUAAAUGUCUUUAAAAAGAAUAUUCAGUGCUAAGCUGAGGGAUUUUCACAGACUCAAGCCUAACACCAGAUGGGUGGCCAGCUAUGAAGUCCUUAGGGCCUGAGCAAAUGCUCUUAAUCUGGCUUGGAUGGUCGGAGAAUCAAAUAGCACCAAACCGGUAAUCUCUGAGUGAUUUUUAAAAAUGACAAAGGUGUAUGCACUUGCAGAAAUGACCAGGCUAACUAGAGAAGCGAGUUUCUCUUAAUAGAAGCCCAUGGCGUUACUAAAGCCCUGUGGUCCUAUGAUUACCUCGGCAUCCCGACCUCCGUUUUGGGUGCCCCUCCCCAUCUGACCUUUAUGGAGUUACACGAAUGAAUGUCCGUUUACCUCCCCCCAGGUGACAGCCCCUCGCCUCCAGGGUCAGAGAGGGCGGAAUGUCUGUUGCAGUUAAGCAUCCUUAUUUUUAAACUGUUUGGAAAUCUCUCUCUCCAAGGAGAUGGCUAUUUAGACAUCUUAAUUAAAAGGGAAUUUGGAAAUAUCUCCCGUUUUGCAGCGCAUGUAAUCAAGCAUUUCUUUUUCUCUGCAGAAGGACUUUGGUUGCCUCUUCACAAAAGGCUUUGAAAUGUCCUAAAACAAUCCCCCGCAGCUCGGGGUGGGGGUAGGGGCGGGAGAGAGAGAGAGAGAGAGAGAGAGAGAGAGAGAGAGAGAGAGAGAGAGAGAAAAAAAAAACCAAAGCAAAAAACAACAAACAUUUUCUGGGAGGUGAUAAAAGUCUUGGAUGCAAAGUAUCCUUAUUUUAUCCCAUGUGAUGAAUUGCCAUAGGGUGGCUGGAAAACUCUUUAAGAACCCCAAGGGCAAAUGCCGUUGUUUAAAUGAGGCAAAUGUUGUUUACCUCUAAGCAAAAUAAAAGCUAAGGAUCAGAAGAAAGAGGGGAUCAAAAGAUCUUUCUCCAAACAGAUUUAUAAAAGAGAGUGAUUUUUAAAUGAUUUCAACUCCUACUUUAUAAAAAUAUUUUAUGAGGCACUUUUCUGAAAAUAACAUGCUUCUGAAGAGUUUUCCUCCCCAAAUCGCUUCCUGAAAAUGGUGGCAUUACUUUCAUGCAGUACAAUUGCCUACACAAGACCUUAUUUAAAACAAUGCAAAAGAAAUUUGACAAAGCUAGUAACUCUGCACAAGGAAACUGGGCAUUUUUUUUUUUUUUGCCGGGAAAAUAACCUUCAAACCUCAAACUAAAUCUGAAACUGCUUCUAUCAAAUUUUUCUUUCAAGAACCUGGAAAGCGGUUCAUUUUGUUUUUUCGAGCAGAUUGUGAAAAGAGUUUUCUUGCAGAGUUUUUGUUUUAUAAUCAAAAUAAUUCGAGGGAAGUGACAGGACUUUUCCUUUGAGAUUUUUUUUUUUUUUUCUGGACAAAAUCUAAUAGAGGGAGAGAGAGAAAAAAAUCUAACCAAAUCCAAGACUUGCAGACAAAAGUUACACACAAUCAGAAAACCCUCAAAGAUAGGUAUAAAUUAUUCUGUCACUAAAUUAAAGUAUUGGUAGAAGAAAAGUCUUAAAAAUGUAAAAUGAGUACUAGCCAAAUACCUUCACAGUUAAUGGAAUUAUGGAAACUUCUCUCUGGUGUGAAUACCCCCAAACACAUUUUAGAUUUAUUUUUAAAGUGUAGUUUAAAGAAACUUUAUACCAUUUAAAAAAAAAAUAACUUUGAAAGGAAAAGAGCCAAAAGAAAAGCAGAAAUUAGGGCAGUUUUUAAACUACAAGCCAACUGUUUGCUCUACUUUGCUUUAUUUAUUAGUUCUCAAGGUAUUUAAAACUUGAGCAUUAAAACUGCAGAAUAAUUUGCAAAUGAAUGCAGUUGCAGUUGUGAAAAUAUAACUCACAGCUGAAUGUGGGUUAUUCAGACAAAUGGCUGCUUUGUUCGAGGAGGGGAAGUAAAGUUCUGUGUUAAUUUAUUACAAACUGCAGCAUUUCAUCCCUGAUGUCCAGGCAACAAUGUUUUUUAUUUCAAGUAAUUUAUAAGCACUUCCCAGAGCACUUAGCCGUGAUGUCCUUGGCUGUUUUGCUCCCAGAGACGGAGUGUAUAUGUAUUUACUGUGGGAAUUUGUUUUUAAUAAAACUGUUGUAAGGCAUUUUUAUUCCUUUGCUUUGUUACAUUAAAAACAUUCACUGCAUAAGUAAUGUAUUUUAUUCCAAGUUGAAAGGCAGCAGAUCACAGCCGGCAACUGUAUUGGGGGGUAGAGAAUAAUGACGAGAAAAGUAAUGUUUAAAGCGAACCAGACCCUUUUCUGAGUUGCUCUAGGUGUCUCUUUGCCUCUGCAUUUAAGGGAAGCAGCAAUUAGAUGACCAAGGGCCCAGGAAAAGUAUCUAGGAGGUCCCAGGAUGCAGGCAAUCGGAGAAUGGAGAAUCAAAUAGAGAAGGGCAGACUAAGGUGCAGCGAAUGUGUGUUUGUGUGCUCCCGUGCAUGUGUGCAUAAACAUGCACACGUGUGUGUGAUCAAUGUUACCAAUUCUGAUAAGUUUUCAUGAUUCCCCUGUAUCUCCCAGAGUCAGUUCACGACCCUAGAUAAUCCAAAAUUGACCUUUAUUUCAAUGUUUAAGGAAAACAGAUGCCUUUGUAUGUACACAUAGACAAUUUUAAAAAUCAGAUUCUGUGUGGUAGGAAGAAAUUGUGGCAAGUUUUCAACUUCAAUGAGAGAAUUGUGGAGUGAUCUAAAAGUUUCAAGGGUCCUGUCCCAAGGGUAGCUGUUCUGCUGAUGCCAAGAGUCUUUCUGGGGAUCCCAGCAUUUCAGUGGCCUUUAACCAUUUUUCUUUAUCAAGGGGGAUGAGUUGGUUAAAGUCAUAGCUCAUUUGUCAACCUAUUUUAUUGAUCUAUCGUCUAUCUAUCUAUCUAAUCUCU